ACAAUCCACCACUCCUUUGGGGCCAACGUCCACGCUGGCACUCGUUCAUCUCCAAUCGAUGUGGGAUCUCAGAGCUUAACUUUCCUCUUUCCCACUCCCUCUAUUUAUAACCAAAAGCCGUAACAACUAUUCCUAAUUUCCUUCUAAUGCCAUUCCUAUCAGUAUGAUUUGAUAUUUUAAACCCAGAUUCUCCCAACAACUGUGAUUUAUUAAGUUCAAAGCUAGGAACUACAGUUUGGCUUUAUUGUAUUUGGUAGUAAGAAAUAAUUGUUCCAUCAAUGUUCAAAUCUUGGACUCUAAAUCUACACCUCUUGAGUGGCCCUAUCCAUGUUUUGCAUCUGUAUCUUGAUCACUGGUUGGAUUCACCCAUUGGUAACUGAAUCUCUUCAAGGAGUAGAGAACCAUAAUUUCUUUACUUUGUAAGCUUCGUUUGAUAACCUUUUUGACUUUUGGUUUUUUGUUUUUGAAAAUUAACUGUUCUAUCUAUCAGUUUCUUUGUUUUUUCAAAAUCCAAACUAAAAUUUGAAGAUUAAAUAGAAUAGUUUGUAAAAACUUGUUUUAGUUUUUGGAGUUUGGCUAAGAAUUCAAACGUUUUCUAAGAAAAAAUAAAAACAUACGGUAAAGAAAUGAUGAGAAAACAAGUAUAAAUUUCAAAAACAAAGAACAAAAAACGAAAAAAAUCAAAUAAUUAUGAAAUGAGACCUAAAUGAUUAGCUUUUGCCUUGUUACAUAGCUUGUUUUUCUCGUUUUUAUGCCUAUGCUGCUGUCAUAUUUUUCCUUUGCUAAAUAAGAGGACAUUGCCCCUUGAUUGUUUUGUAGAAAUCUAGGGAUAGGUAUUGUUCCUUACAGCCCCCUCGGUCGAGGCUUCUUUGCCGGUAAAGCCGUUGCGGAAAGUUUGCCUGCUGAGAGCCUAUUGAGCUUGCAUCCUCGAUUCAUCGAAGAAAACUUGGAGAAGAACAAGUGCUUUUACACACGAAUAGAGAAGCUUGCUGAAAAGCACCAUUGCUCUCCUGCUCAACUUUCUCUUGCAUGGGUUCUCCAACAAGGAGAUGACGUUGUUCCAAUUCCAGGCACAACCAAGAUAAAAAAUUUGGAGCAGAACAUCGGUUCCUUGACAGUGAAGCUCGACAAAGACGACCUGAACGAGAUUUCUGAGGCAGUACCCGAAAGCGAGGUAGCUGGAAAUAGAAAUUAUGAUAGCUUGAUGUAUGCAACAUGGAAAUAUGCUAACACACCUCCAAAAAUGAAUGACAUCUGAACCUGAGACAUUCAAAGGUUGGCAGCAUUUUUUAGUGCGCAGACUUCUGAAACUGGCUGAUGGGUUGAGUAUCCAAAUACCGAAGUGAAACAGGGAAAUCAAGGAAUCAAGGUAAGUCCCCAUUUUAAUUUUCCCGUUUCCAUUACAAAUUUUGUCGUAGAAACUGUUCUUGAUCGGUGGAAAUGGAAGCAUUAUAGUCCCUUAGGUUGACUUCUACAGCUAAACAGUCUGUGCUAAUCUUAUCAACUGCUAGGUUUUUGCUUACUCAGAUCUUGAAAAUGGUUGAGAGAAUUUAGUAAUUGGAAGGAAAACAAAAAUCCCUUCUAGUGGGGUUAACCCUUUAGUACGUACUAAAUAUUAUAUAUGUUCCAAUUUGAAGUGAAAGACUGUGAUGUAAGCAAUGAUGAAUAAG
Non-coding RNA from Cucurbita pepo subsp. pepo (vegetable marrow), 1670 nucleotides. Lineage: Eukaryota; Viridiplantae; Streptophyta; Magnoliopsida; Cucurbitales; Cucurbitaceae. The record is from RefSeq and is a predicted model, not a curated record.